AUGCGAUAAGUAAUGUGAAUUGCAGAAUUCAGUGAAUCAUCGAAUCUUUGAACGCACAUUGCGCCCGGGAGCAUUCUCCCGGGCAUGCCUGUUCGAGCGUCAUUUCAACCCUCGACCUCCCCUUGGGGAGGCCGGCCGUUGGAGAUCGGCAGCGAUUGCCGGCUCCCAAAUUCAGUGGCGACCCGCCGCGGGGACCCCUGCGCAGUAACAUACACUCGCACCGGAAACCAGACGUGUCACGCCGUAAAACCCCAACUUUCUGAACGUUGACCUCGGAUCAGGUAGGAAUACCCGCUGAACUUAA
This 304-nucleotide unclassified non-coding RNA is filed under the name uncultured Lecanicillium. RNAcentral describes it as "partial contains 5.8S ribosomal RNA, internal transcribed spacer 2, and large subunit ribosomal RNA". The stretch from base 1 to 102 matches the Rfam family "5.8S ribosomal RNA", at positions 53 to 154 of the family's 154-position model. Lineage: Eukaryota; Fungi; Ascomycota; Sordariomycetes; Hypocreales; Cordycipitaceae. The record is from RNAcentral.